RNAcentral lists this unclassified non-coding RNA (285 nucleotides) under uncultured fungus. RNAcentral's name for it is "sequence contains ITS1". The stretch from base 1 to 98 matches the Rfam family "5.8S ribosomal RNA", at positions 49 to 154 of the family's 154-position model. The record is from RNAcentral. Lineage: Eukaryota; Fungi.
UAAAGUGCGAUAUGAAGUGCGAUUUGCAUGAAUCUGUGAGUCAUCAUAUAUUUGAACGCAACUUGCGCCUAGGAAUAGGCAUGUAUGUUUGAGGGUCGGAAAAGAAUGGGACCGAAAGGAAACGAGAUGCCAGCAUUGGAUGCGGGUGAAAAGGAGCAAGAGUUGAUGGGAGAUAUUGACUUGUGAUGGAGAGCAAUGCUCUUCUCAAGAGAAUAUUCUCAAGACUAUGAUAAACAAGAUAAACACGCUGACCUCAAAUCAUGCAAGAUUACCCGCUGAACUUAA